RNAcentral lists this long non-coding RNA (790 nucleotides) under Elaeis guineensis (African oil palm). RNAcentral describes it as "long non-coding RNA (EGUI_LNC023293)". The record is from RNAcentral. Lineage: Eukaryota; Viridiplantae; Streptophyta; Magnoliopsida; Arecales; Arecaceae.
CCUCCCUCCCUUGUUUCUUCGUCGGAGAUCCGAAUGCCUCCCUCCACAUCACUGGAAAAAAGGUCAGUAUGUCUCCCUCCCUCCUAUGCUUCUCCCUGUCUCUAGAGUUUCGACUUUCAACCAUUCUUCUCCUCUGCUCCUCCCUAAUCUCUCCUCCCUCCUCCCUUGUUUCUUCGUCGGAGAUCCGAAUGCCUCCCUCUACAUCACUGGAAACAAGGUCAGUAUGUCUCCCUCCCUCCUAUGCUUCUCCCUUCUGGUGAUGAAUCGAUAGAAAAAAUAGGCAAGUCCCAAUCGGGAUGGCUGUACCGACACAUGAUCUGGCCAGAAAGGUGGGACAGUCAGAACGGAGGCCAGAUGCACGUUUCAGGAUCUCGCACCCGUCCUAGGUGCCGGAAUCUCGGAGGAAUGGGGCGGGAUGGCCCCAUCCCACUAAGGCUUAAAUCAUUGAUGAAGAGACUAUAUUGUAAAAAAAGUACUAUAAGGAAAGCUACCUUCCAAAUGAAUAGAAUGAAGAUUAAGUCAUCAGAGAUAAAGUUUUUUUAUAGCGAUUAAUUUCAUGCUGAGAAAAUAUAGUAGUAGAACAAAGGAGAUGCCAUUUACUGAUGAGGUAAGAUCUUUGAUUUAGAUGGCGUGUCUAUGAUUUUUGAGAUGCAUUGACUCCUUAUACCCAAUAGGGAUCGCAAUUGAUUGGGUAUGGGUUGGAUAGGCCAAUAUCCGUAACUGUCCUGCAAUUGGAAACCCUAUAUCAGUACCCGCUUCAUACUCACCUCAGAGUGGGAUUGGUUGGGUA